CAUGAAUAUCUAAAAAUCACAACCAGAUCAGCUUGACUCCAGGAACAAACUCGGCUCACAUUUUUGGACUUGUGUUAAGCCACAUGCGGAAACUCCCGAACGAUCUCCCUGACCGUGGUGAUAUCUAAAACAGGACAAAGAUAACAGCGCAUUCUCAGAGACCUCCACAGUGAAAGCUUCACAUAAACAGAGGUGUGUACCGAGAUGACAUUUUCUGCAAGGAGAGAGUUAUUUAUGCGUUUUUGGAAGGAGCCUCCAGCACUUUCUAACAGUCAGAGGUACAGCUAUACCUAUGACAAGAUGAUUUUUUUUCUAGUCAGGGACCGACUGGGUAUAACAGGAACUAACAUGUCUCACGGAUGUUCCAAUUUAUUCUAACUUUAAACUUAAACUUUAAUUUAAGUUUUGUUGUUCUUUAAUAAAUAAAAUAUCAAUAGUGUUGGCAAAUUGCUGUGGUAUAGGAAAUAUAAAACACUUUGGGAUGUGCUGUUACUGGAAAAUAUGUAGUAAUGGUGUAUUAUUUUCUUUGAGCUGGGCAAACCAAAUUAACUUUGGAAAUACAUGUAUGCAUGAAACCAUUAUUUUUUUUUAUUAACCCGUAGCCCAUAAAAAGGCUGAAGCAUAGAUCAUGAUGAUAUUGGCCCCAAUCGGGAAUCUUGGCCUUUCAGUUUAUAUGUAGUAUAAUUGAGUACUCUCUGUUUGGGAGGGGCGGUUGUUUGUUGGAUCCAGUGGCAUGUCUACGUGUUGCUGGUGUGAUUCCUGUUCUCCCUGUGCUUUGGGGGUUUCCUUCCACAGUCCAAAUACAUUGUCGGCUGAUCGGCAUCUCUAAAUUGUCCGUAGUGUGUGAAUAGGUGUUGUGCCCUAAGUCCCGUGGGAUAGACUCCACUAUAAGCACUACAGAAAAUAGAUGGAUGGAUGAUGGAUGGAUGAUAGACAAAUGGAUGGAUGGAACUUUAUUUGCAUGAAUCAGAGUAACUGCUUCAUGUGGAUUGUUCCUGAUUGGGGCUUUAAUAAUCGAAAUAGAAAAGAUCUCCACAUAACCAGAUCCAAUAGAUAUUCUAUACAGCUACUAAGAAAGCAACUGAUGUUUAAAUAUAUGAGAUAAGGAACAGCUAGAGGAGAAACCCGUAAACCCCGCACCACUAAGACAGAACCUGUAACACAACCACACCACACCAAUCCACACCAGAGCAGGAAACAUCACUCACUCUUUCCUUGUGCUUUACCCGAUGAGGGCUCUGAAGAAUACUGGCAUCUAUAAAGAGAACAAAACUGACAUAAGACAAGGAAAACUUGACGUUAGCUUUCCAUGUAUACGUUUUAAACCCAAACACUUUUGAACUGUGGGAUCGUCAAAGAACACGAAGGAGAGUUUACAGAUAUCGAUGGCACAAGCAGAAAGAAAACAUCUAACCAGCCAGUUCUACUACAUAGUGUAGCAUGAUGCAGCAUUGUAGAUGUAGCAUUAUACUACACGUCUUUUUGAAUGAUUGGCAGAGAAUGAUAUAAUCCCUUAAAUUACAAUCAGCAUGUCAUUUACUGUACACGAAUACACAGAGAGCUGAGCAUUGACCCACAGACCAUGAAAACACACAGAAUCUCUCUCUCUCUCUCUCUCUCUCUCUCUCUCUCUCUCUCUCACACACACACACACACACACACACACACACACACACACACACAAAACCCACCCUGUACGUCUCUCUGUAGCCUUUCAAUUCACCCAAGAAAUCACCGUGGCCCAAGACGUUAUAUUUUUCUUUCAUUUUUACUUUAUUCUGUAUUAUACUGUAUUCUAAAUAAUUGAUUAUUUCUUUUAUUCUACAAAGAGACGCACUGAAAACAGCAAUAAAGACCAAGCGCAGAAGAGUGCGAGGAGUCCAAAAGCAUCAUAGUUUUAUUCUUUCAGCUUUUUUUUCAGUGACAAACGUUUUUGUUGCAAUUUCAGUUGCGUAAAUAAUAUCUCCAAAUACAGGACUUUUAAACAGAUGCACAGUAGAACUCAGAGUGCAAGCAGGUGGGAACAGUAAAGUGUAUUUACACCACAGUUAUUCAGAGGAAAUUGUACAUGCUCACGUUAAACACACUCCAAAAGACAGAAUCAUGUUUCUGAUUUUUUUUUGUAAUUAGAUAAAAGUACAUUUUCCCUCUCUUAAACAUUAAACUGGUCAGUUUUCCCAAUGCAGUUUGUCUAAAAAUGCCUCAAGCAUGAUCAAUUCCUUUCAUUUGUCUUUAGAGGUAUGGAUUUUAUAGCUAACCAUCAUGACAUAAUACUGCAUUUCCACUACUAAUUGCAUCAUGUCCAGGGCUGAGAGCGCAAAACAUAGCUGAAGUUCAUGCUGAGGUACGUUAAAAAAACAAACCAAAAAAUAAAUUCCAUUUUAAUUCGAACUGCAUGGAAACAGAUGCCAUCAAAAACCUCAUGCAUUUCUAAAAAAACGAGGAUAUGGGCAGCUUAAGAAAUAAUACAUCAUGCAUGCGAGCAUGUUCUGCAUGCAGAAACCAACUAUCAGCUACUGACCUUAACAAAGAGCUCGGGAAAAUAAAUCAUAUUACGUCAUUCUGGGGACUUUUAUACAAAUAUACAAAACAUAUAAUUUACCUUUGCCUUGAUAAAUAAUUUAGCUUAACUGUCAUCUGGUAUUAUUCUAAAACUUUAAACUAGCUUAAAAAUACCUGCAAUUACAGGAAUUCAAAUUAAAACCAUUCAUGAGUCCUAUUGAGAGAGCGGAACAAUGCGAGUCCAGUUAAAACGGCAUUAUAUUAAGCUUGAAACUAAAAAAAAAGUUUCCAUUGCACUAGUCCUCUGGCAGAACUUCAUAAAUAAAAAUAUAACUAAACAACCCAAAAAAACAAAA
Molecule: long non-coding RNA, 2858 nt
Organism: Tachysurus fulvidraco (yellow catfish)
Lineage: Eukaryota; Metazoa; Chordata; Actinopteri; Siluriformes; Bagridae
Exons: 2
Source: RefSeq, a predicted model, not a curated record